GUGGUAAUGCCGGAUGCUCCGGUUGGAUGCAUGUCCUUCCGGGAAAGGUUCCAUCGGUAUGGGAUGGGGUCGCGUCCUAUCAGCUUGAUGGCGGGGUAACGGCCCACCAUGGCUUCGACGGGUAGCCGGCCUGAGAGGGCGACCGGCCACAUUGGGACUGAGAUACGGCCCAGACUCCUACGGGAGGCAGCAGUGGGGAAUAUUGCACAAUGGGCGCAAGCCUGAUGCAGCGACGCCGCGUGCGGGAUGGAGGCCUUCGGGUUGUAAACCGCUUUUGAUCGGGAGCAAGCCCUUCGGGGUGAGUGUACCUUUCGAAUAAGCACCGGCUAACUACGUGCCAGCAGCCGCGGUAAUACGUAGGGUGCAAGCGUUAUCCGGAAUUAUUGGGCGUAAAGGGCUCGUAGGCGGUUCGUCGCGUCCGGUGUGAAAGCCCAUCGCUUAACGGUGGGUCUGCGCCGGGUACGGGCGGGCUGGAGUGCGGUAGGGGAGACUGGAAUUCCCGGUGUAACGGUGGAAUGUGUAGAUAUCGGAAAAAAACACCA
Molecule: ribosomal RNA, 542 nt
Filed under: Bifidobacterium dentium
Lineage: Bacteria; Bacillati; Actinomycetota; Actinomycetes; Bifidobacteriales; Bifidobacteriaceae
Description: bacterial SSU rRNA
Rfam family: Bacterial small subunit ribosomal RNA
Source: RNAcentral